Molecule: non-coding RNA, 1392 nt
Organism: Malus domestica (apple)
Lineage: Eukaryota; Viridiplantae; Streptophyta; Magnoliopsida; Rosales; Rosaceae
Source: RefSeq, a predicted model, not a curated record
AAUACUUGCUCCCUUUCCUUCCAAACGAUCAAAUAAUUGGCCUUAUGCGGUGGAGUGUGGACCUUGCGUGCGGACCAAAAUCUGACGGCUGAGAUUGGGCGAGCUCACGCGUAGAACCGGCGAGUCGGGAGUGCUGAGCGUGAAGAGCAGCGGCACUUUUUCAAGGAGAAAGAUAGGAUGUUUUGUCACUAAGCAGAAAAUUGAGAGCUCUUCAAGCAAGCAGCAGAUUAAUUUUUCACCCAUGUCAAAUAUUUGAUUAUUUUUUUGAAUUUUUUAACUUUUUGACCUUAAAGUUCUGUUCUUUGGAUUGGUUUUUCAAUUGGGUGACUUGGGUUUGAGGGGUUGUGAAUUGAUUUAGCUGUUUUUGAUGGACUAUGAGAUGUUUUACUAACUCGCUAUAGAGCCUAAGCUAAAGUCCCAAGAGCAACAUUCUGGCCACCACCUCCUGGGACAACCAGAGAUUAUUGGUAGGAUUAAGUAAUGAAUGCUGGGAGAUACACCAGAGUGGACAAAAUCUUGCUAGUGUGGCCAACGCAUCCAUACCCCAUGACCAACCGGUUUUGUGCUCAACUUGGAAGGAUGAUGGAUCUACUGUGUUCUCUGGUGGCUGUGACGAGCAAGUUAAGAGUGGCCUUUGGCUGGUAACCAACCAGUGACCGUUACAUACAUGAUGCACCCAUAAAAGAGGUUGCUUGGGAUCCCGGAGGAAAUGAACUACUUAGUCACAGGAAACUGGGACAAGACUACGAAUUUUGUCUAGUGUUACAGGACUUGUAUAAAGUUGUACGUGGGCGAAUGAGACAUGUGAAAUGUUUGUUACUUUGGCGUAAAACAAGUGAUACAUUUUUCUGAUAGUUUAUGCAAGCCUUCAAUGACAUCUGAGGAAGAAGGAUGGAAGAGAGAGGAGGCACGACACAGGUGUAAGCUAUUACAAUUACAGGGUAUACUCCCAGUCCUAUGGAGAGAUAGGAAGAUUGAUUGUACUGAUGCAAUGUCCGAUACAAGCUUGGUGCCCUAUCGUUGAAAAUAGCCGAGCAUUGCUCUUUCGACAUUAAUUCGGGAAGGUUAGAUGCUACCGGUUAAUUAGCCAAAGAAGAAGCCAGCAGUCUAGAGACACCAUAGUUGGAGUUGGCCCAGGAAUAAUCAUCAAAGGCAGAGGGUGAGUGCGAUCGGUGACGAGCAAAUAAUUGCUGGGAAUUUGAAGCAUGUCAUAGGGUAAGUGGGCACCGCCAACGCCAUCAAUUUGAAGCAAAUAGAACGAAAUUACGUACCAUGUAAUUAUUCUCGAUAUUCCGAUGUCAAGACACAACUCACAAGUCGGACGAGUCACUGAAAUAGUUAGAAAAACCCGUCACCCUCCUUCUCUCAUGUUUCAAUUACUUUUUUGUCUCA